GAUGAACGCUGGCGGCGUGCUUAACACAUGCAAGUCGAACGAAGAGGGUUAGAAUGAGAGCUUCGGCAGGAUUUCUUUCCAUCUUAGUGGCGGACGGGUGAGUAACGUGUGGGCAACCUGCCCUGUACUGGGGAAUAACUCGCCGAAAGGCGUGCUAAUACCGGAUGAUGUCGUAAGACCAAAGAUUUAUCGCCCAGGGAUGAGCCCGCGUAAGAUUAGGUAGUUGGUGAGGUAAAGGCUCACCAAGCCGACGAUCUUUAGCUGGUCUGAGAGGAUGAUCAGCCACACUGGGACUGAGACACGGCCCAG
RNAcentral lists this ribosomal RNA (309 nucleotides) under uncultured bacterium. RNAcentral describes it as "bacterial SSU rRNA". It matches the Rfam family "Bacterial small subunit ribosomal RNA", at positions 28 to 334 of the family's 1533-position model. The record is from RNAcentral.